RNAcentral lists this ribosomal RNA (459 nucleotides) under uncultured bacterium. Its description in RNAcentral is "partial 16S ribosomal RNA". It matches the Rfam family "Bacterial small subunit ribosomal RNA", at positions 339 to 795 of the family's 1533-position model. The record is from RNAcentral.
CUACGGGAGGCUCCAGUGAGGAAUAUUGCGCAAUGGACGAAAGUCUGACGCAGCCAUGCCGCGUGCAGGAUGACGGCGCUAUGCGUUGUAAACUGCUUUUAUAUGCCAAGAAACCUUCGGACGUGUCCGAAGCUGACGGUAGCAUAUGAAUAAGCACCGGCUAACUCCGUGCCAGCAGCCGCGGUAAUACGGAGGGUGCAAGCGUUAUCCGGAUUUAUUGGGUUUAAAGGGUCCGUAGGCGGAUCAUUAAGUCAGUGGUGAAAGCCGGCAGCUCAACUGUCGAACUGCCAUUGAUACUGGUGAUCUUGAAUACGGUUGAAGUUGGCGGAAUAGGUCAUGUAGCGGUGAAAUGCUUAGAUAUGACCUAGAACACCGAUUGCGAAGGCAGCCAACUAAGCCGUUAUUGACGCUGAGGGACGAAAGCGUGGGGAGCAAACAGGAUUAGAUACCCGCGUAGUC